Molecule: ribosomal RNA, 502 nt
Filed under: uncultured euryarchaeote
Lineage: Archaea; Methanobacteriati; Methanobacteriota
Description: bacterial SSU rRNA
Rfam family: Archaeal small subunit ribosomal RNA
Source: RNAcentral
ACACUUUACAAUGCGGGAAACCGCGAUAAGGGAACCCCGAGUGCCAGCAUCAAAUGUUGGCUGUCCAGAUGAUUAAAAAUCAUUUGUUAGCAAGGGCCGGGCAAGACCGGUGCCAGCCGCCGCGGUAACACCGGCGGCCCGAGUGGUAGCCGUUUUUAUUGGGUCUAAAGGGUCCGUAGCCGGCCUGAUAAGUCCUUUGGGAAAUCUGGCAGCUUAACUGUCAGGCUUCUAAGGGAUACUGUCAGGCUUGGGACCGGAAGAGGUAAGGGGUACUCCAGGGGUAGGGGUGAAAUCUUGUAAUCCCUGGGGGACCAUCUGUGGCGAAGGCGCCUUACCAGAACGGGUCCGACGGUGAGGGACGAAAGCUAGGGGAGCAAACCGGAUUAGAUACCCGGGUAGUCCUAGCUGUAAACGAUGCUCGCUAGGUGUCAGACACGGUGCGACCGUGUUUGGUGCCGCAGGGAAGCCGUUAAGCGAGCCACCUGGAAGUACGUCGCAAGGC